Molecule: long non-coding RNA, 259 nt
Filed under: Homo sapiens (human)
Lineage: Eukaryota; Metazoa; Chordata; Mammalia; Primates; Hominidae
Description: non-protein coding lnc-C6orf203-5:1
Source: RNAcentral
UGUUGCCCAGGCUGGAGUGCAAUGGUGCCAUCUCGGCUCACUGCAACCUCUACCUCCUAGGUUCCAGCGAUUCUCCUGCCUCAGCCUCCCGGGUAGCUGGGACUAUAGGCGCGUGCCACUAUGCCCGGCUAAUUUUGUAUUUUUAGUAGCGACGGCGUUUCACCAUGUUGGCCAGGCUGGUCUCAAACUCCUGACCUUAGGUGAUCCACCCACCUCUGCCUCCCAAAGUGCUGGGAUUACAGGUGUAAGCCACCACGCC